RNAcentral lists this ribosomal RNA (253 nucleotides) under uncultured bacterium. RNAcentral describes it as "partial 16S ribosomal RNA". It matches the Rfam family "Bacterial small subunit ribosomal RNA", at positions 524 to 776 of the family's 1533-position model. The record is from RNAcentral.
UACGGAGGGGGUUAGCGUUGUUCGGAAUGACUGGGCGUAAAGCGCGCGUAGGCGGAUCGCAAAGUUGGGGGUGAAAGCCCAGGGCUCAACCCUGGAAUUGCCUUCAAGACUCGCGGUCUGGAGUUCGAGAGAGGUGGGUGGAAUUCCGAGUGUAGAGGUGAAAUUCGUAGAUAUUCGGAGGAACACCAGUGGCGAAGGCGGCCCACUGGCUCGACACUGACGCUCAUGCACGAAAGCGUGGGGAGCAAACAGG